GACGAACGCUGGCGGCGUGCCUAAUACAUGCAAGUCGAGCGAAUCUGAGGGAGCUUGCUCCCAACGAUUAGCGGCGGACGGGUGAGUAACACGUGGGUAACCUGCCUGUAAGAUUGGGAUAACUCCGGGAAACCGGAGCUAAUACCGGAUAACAUUACGAACCGCAUGGUUCGGAAUUGAAAGACGGCUUUUAGCUGUCACUUACAGAUGGACCCGCGGCGCAUUAGCUAGUUGGUGAGGUAACGGCUCACCAAGGCGACGAUGCGUAGCCGACCUGAGAGGGUGAUCGGCCACACUGGGACUGAGACACGGCCCAGACUCCUACGGGAGGCAGCAGUAGGGAAUCUUCCGCAAUGGACGAAAGUCUGACGGAGCAACGCCGCGUGAACGAUGAAGGCCUUCGGGUCGUAAAGUUCUGUUGUUAGGGAAGAACAAGUACCAGA
This 443-nucleotide ribosomal RNA is filed under the name uncultured bacterium. RNAcentral's name for it is "bacterial SSU rRNA". It matches the Rfam family "Bacterial small subunit ribosomal RNA", at positions 28 to 460 of the family's 1533-position model. The record is from RNAcentral.